Non-coding RNA from Pelobates cultripes (western spadefoot toad), 84 nucleotides. The record is from the annotation of a GenBank genome assembly. NCBI's taxonomy places the organism in Eukaryota, Metazoa, Chordata, Amphibia, Anura, Pelobatidae.
GUGUGUGUGUGUGUGUGUGUGUGUAUGUAUCUAUAUAUAUAUAUAUAUAUAUAUAUAUAGAUACAUACACACACAAACACAUAC